GCUGGAUUCGCUGUAAUCGCGCAUCAGCCACGGCGCGGUGAAUACGUUCCCGGGCCUUGUACACACCGCCCGUCAAGCCAUGGAAGCCGGGAGUGCCUGAAGUGCGUGAGCGCAAGCAGCGCCCUAAGGUAAAACCGGUGACUGGGGCUAAGUCGUAACAAGGUACC
Molecule: ribosomal RNA, 167 nt
Filed under: uncultured bacterium
Lineage: Bacteria
Description: partial 16S ribosomal RNA
Rfam family: Bacterial small subunit ribosomal RNA
Source: RNAcentral